AAACGAUUAAAUAUCAAGCAAGCAACAACAAUUUUAAGUUCAACGCAUUCAUAUAUAAGUAUCAGCAAAACAAUUCCAACUCUCAGCAGUAAUAAUAGUAAUAAUAAGUGAGAGAGAAAAAAA
Glossina fuscipes is the source of this 123-nucleotide long non-coding RNA. RefSeq lists it as uncharacterized. NCBI's taxonomy places the organism in Eukaryota, Metazoa, Arthropoda, Insecta, Diptera, Glossinidae. The transcript has 2 exons. The record is from RefSeq and is a predicted model, not a curated record.